Molecule: ribosomal RNA, 528 nt
Filed under: uncultured bacterium
Lineage: Bacteria
Description: bacterial SSU rRNA
Rfam family: Bacterial small subunit ribosomal RNA
Source: RNAcentral
ACAUCCAGAGAAUUUAGCAGAGAUGCUUUAGUGCCUUCGGGAACUCUGAGACAGGUGCUGCAUGGCUGUCGUCAGCUCGUGUUGUGAAAUGUUGGGUUAAGUCCCGNAACGAGCGCAACCCUUAUCCUUUGUUGCCAGCACGUAAUGGUGGGAACUCAAAGGAGACUGCCGGUGAUAAACCGGAGGAAGGUGGGGAUGACGUCAAGUCGGAUCAUGGCCCUUACGAGUAGGGCUACACACGUGCUACAAUGGCGCAUACAAAGAGAAGCGACCUCGCGAGAGCAAGCGGACCUCAUAAAGUGCGUCGUAGUCCGGAUUGGAGUCUGCAACUCGACUCCAUGAAGUCGGAAUCGCUAGUAAUCGUAAAUCAGAAUGUUACGGUGAAUACGUUCCCGGGCCUUGUACACACCGCCCGUCACACCAUGGGAGUGGGUUGCAAAAGAAGUAGAUAGCUUAACCUUCGGGAGGGCGUUUACCACUUUGUGAUUCAUGACUGGGGUGAAGUCGUAACAAGGUAGGCGUAGUGCU